AUAAUAUUUCAAAGGUAAAAUGUACGUUAUUAUUCAAUUAAGAAUACAAAAGAACGUAGUACAUUUUCGGUCUCAUACUAACAAUCUCAGUAAUAUUUACUAAAGCCUCUUCCAAAAUAAAUAAUAUAUGCCGUAAAAUCUAAUACAUUCCAAAUCAGACCUGGUUAAUACGAUAGAUGCCUGUUGCCAUGUUUCCUUAUCGCAUAGAUAAUGGGAAAAAAAUUGUAAGAUAAGAAUUUAAAAAAAGGAUUUUUUCUUGGAAUAUCAAUUUUAACAUCUCUGUGAAGACGCUUUACACAGUUAGCAACAUCAGGUCGCAGAUAAAGUAUAAUACUUUAUAUUUAUACAGUUGGACUACUGGAGGGUUAACACCAUCUUCGGUUUAUUAAUUAAUGUAAGCAUAAUAUUAAUUCUCAAGGAUCCUACAAUCUUCAAUAGGCAAAAACGGAUCUACUUAGAAGGAUAUUUAUCUUAGAAGGAUUGCCUAUAAAGCGUUAGCUAAAUAGAAAGUUUCUAAAAUGGAGGGAAUUCAAGAAGCUCCGAUCGCAAAUAACAAAAAUUAUACUAAGAAUUUAAAAAGUCAUUAUGUCCCAGACAAGACCACAAAAAAAUUGUUCAUUGAAUCUGUAACUAUUGAACUUAAUAACAGGGAAUGUUUAGUGGAGGAAAAGUCGUAUUUUACGGCUGCGAGAUGGGGGACCACUAUAAUUAAUUUAAUUUUUGAUAUUUGCUCAAACUGUCCUCUAAUUAUAUAUAUCGUAAUUUUAAUGUGGAUGUUUUAUUUGGGCAUGAAAUGAAAUUGUGGCCUAUAUCCUCGAGGAACAAGUAGAAUAAAAUCUAACCUGCUCUCGACCAUUUUAUUUUUAACAAAAUAUUAUUAAUGUUUGAAAUAUAUGCCAUGCAAGAUUAUUGAUAUUAAUAUUACAUACAAAUAUUUACUAUGAAACGGAUCUGAUUUAUACCUAUCUGCUGGAAGAGCAAAUUGAAAUGGAUUUUCUCAAUUUUAUACCGUUGUUAUUUUUGCUUGACAGAAAUUUUUUUUACAAUUCUAUGUUAUUGUAUAGUUAUUGUAUUCGUUUCAAGUGUGGUGUAAAUCAGAUUUUUGGCGCAUAUAAAUUAGUUAGUAUUUACAUAAACAUGUGUAAAUUAACUUGUGAAAAUCUAUAUUUUUAUAAAAUGUAACCAUUUCAUCUAGAAUAAUGUAUUCAAUCACAGACAAGUAACAAUAAUUUAGUUUACGUGGAUUUUACUUGUCAUUUAUGUUGCUGUAUUUUAAUGUUUUACAUUGAAAUAUAUAGCCGUUUAGCUUUA
Dendroctonus ponderosae (mountain pine beetle) is the source of this 1311-nucleotide long non-coding RNA. RefSeq lists it as uncharacterized. NCBI's taxonomy places the organism in Eukaryota, Metazoa, Arthropoda, Insecta, Coleoptera, Curculionidae. The record is from RefSeq and is a predicted model, not a curated record. The transcript is spliced from 2 exons.